Molecule: ribosomal RNA, 408 nt
Filed under: uncultured bacterium
Lineage: Bacteria
Description: bacterial SSU rRNA
Rfam family: Bacterial small subunit ribosomal RNA
Source: RNAcentral
UUACCUGGCCCUGACAUCCGGGGAACUCCCAGAGAUGGGAGGUGCCGCAAGGAGCCCCGAGACAGGUGGUGCAUGGUUGUCGUCAGCUCGUGUCGUGAGAUGUUGGGUUAAGUCCCGCAACGAGCGCAACCCUUGCCUUUAGUUGCCAGCAUUAAGUUGGGCACUCUGGAGGGACUGCCAGGGAUAACCUGGAGGAAGGUGGGGAUGACGUCAAAUCAUCAUGCCCCUUAUGCUUAGGGCUACACACGUGCUACAAUGGGUGGUACAGAGGGCAGCCAAGUCGUGAGGCGGAGCUAAUCCCUUAAAGCCAUUCUCAGUUCGGAUUGUAGGCUGAAACUCGCCUACAUGAAGCUGGAGUUACUAGUAAUCGCAGAUCAGAAUGCUGCGGUGAAUGCGUUCCCGGGUCUU